UACGUAGGGGGCAAGCGUUGUCCGGAAUCAUUGGGCGUAAAGAGCGCGUAGGCGGUUUGUCGCGUCUGCUGUGAAAACUCGGGGCUUAACCCCGGGCCUGCAGUGGGUACGGGCAGACUAGAGUGCGGUAGGGGAGACUGGAAUUCCUGGUGUAGCGGUGAAAUGCGCAGAUAUCAGGAGGAACACCGGUGGCGAAGGCGGCGACCUGGGUAGAUACUGACGCUGAGGCGCGAAAGCGUGGGGAGCAAACAGG
Molecule: ribosomal RNA, 253 nt
Filed under: uncultured bacterium
Lineage: Bacteria
Description: partial 16S ribosomal RNA
Rfam family: Bacterial small subunit ribosomal RNA
Source: RNAcentral